GAGACUCUGCCGACCUGGAUGGAACUGAGACCCACCGUGCCACAUGCAUGAGUUAUAUCUUAUCCUUCCAGCCUCACUAUAUUCCUGAGGGUUAAAAGGUGAGGCUGA
Long non-coding RNA from Empidonax traillii (willow flycatcher), 108 nucleotides. RefSeq lists it as uncharacterized. NCBI's taxonomy places the organism in Eukaryota, Metazoa, Chordata, Aves, Passeriformes, Tyrannidae. The transcript is spliced from 3 exons. The record is from RefSeq and is a predicted model, not a curated record.